This 301-nucleotide ribosomal RNA is filed under the name uncultured bacterium. RNAcentral describes it as "partial 16S ribosomal RNA". It matches the Rfam family "Bacterial small subunit ribosomal RNA", at positions 509 to 807 of the family's 1533-position model. The record is from RNAcentral.
CAGUAGCCACGGGAAUACGUAGGGUGCAAGCGUUAAUCGGAAUUACUGGGCGUAAAGCGUGCGCAGGCGGUUUGUUAAGACAGAUGUGAAAUCCCCGGGCUCAACCUGGGAACUGCAUUUGUGACUGGCAAGCUAGAGUCUGGCAGAGGGGGGUGGAAUUCCGCGUGUAGCAGUGAAAUGCGUAGAUAUGCGGAGGAACACCGAUGGCGAAGGCAGCCCCCUGGGCCAACACUGACGCUCAUGCACGAAAGCGUGGGGAGCAAACAGGAUUAGAUACCCCCGUAGUCCCUGUCUCUUAUAC